GCAGUGGUGGUUCAGUAGUAGAAUUCUUGCUUUCCAUGCUUGAUACCUGGGUUCGGUUUCUGGCCAAUGCA
RNAcentral lists this transfer RNA (71 nucleotides) under Loxodonta africana (African savanna elephant). It matches the Rfam family "tRNA". Rfam says of the family: Transfer RNA (tRNA) molecules are approximately 80 nucleotides in length. The record is from Rfam by way of RNAcentral. Lineage: Eukaryota; Metazoa; Chordata; Mammalia; Proboscidea; Elephantidae.